CCCCGAAUAGCUCAGCUGGAAGAGCGUUCGGCUGUAACUGAUACCAUUGACACCGAAAGGUCGCUUGUUCGAUCCAGGCUUCGGGGA
RNAcentral lists this transfer RNA (87 nucleotides) under Fusarium redolens. It matches the Rfam family "tRNA". Rfam says of the family: Transfer RNA (tRNA) molecules are approximately 80 nucleotides in length. Their secondary structure includes four short double-helical elements and three loops (D, anti-codon, and T loops). The record is from Rfam by way of RNAcentral. Lineage: Eukaryota; Fungi; Ascomycota; Sordariomycetes; Hypocreales; Nectriaceae.